CCUACGGGUGGCAGCAGUGAGGAAUAUUGGUCAAUGGGCGCGAGCCUGAACCAGCCAAGUCGCGUGAGGGAUGAAGGUUCUAUGGAUCGUAAACCUCUUUUAUAAGGGAAUAAAGUGUGGGACGUGUCCUAUUUUGUAUGUACCUUAUGAAUAAGGAUCGGCUAACUCCGUGCCAGAAGCCGCGUGAAUACGGAGGAUCAGAGCGUUAUCCGAGUUUAUUGGGUUUAAAGGGUGCGGCGGCGGCCUUGUAAGUCAGCGGUGAAAGUCUGUGGGUCAACCAUAGCAUUGCCGUUGAAACUGGGGGGCUUGAGUAUGUUUGAGGCAGGCGGAAUGCGUGGUGUAGCGGUGAAAUGCUUAGAGAUCACGCAGAACCCCGAUUGCGAAGGCAGCCUGCCGAGCCAUGACUGACGCUGAUGCACGAAAGCGUGGGGAUCAAACAGGAUUAGAUACCCCUGUAGUC
RNAcentral lists this ribosomal RNA (460 nucleotides) under uncultured bacterium. Its description in RNAcentral is "partial 16S ribosomal RNA". It matches the Rfam family "Bacterial small subunit ribosomal RNA", at positions 338 to 795 of the family's 1533-position model. The record is from RNAcentral.